This 253-nucleotide ribosomal RNA is filed under the name uncultured prokaryote. RNAcentral's name for it is "partial 16S ribosomal RNA". It matches the Rfam family "Bacterial small subunit ribosomal RNA", at positions 524 to 776 of the family's 1533-position model. The record is from RNAcentral.
UACAGAGGUCUCAACCGUUGUUCGGAUUCAUUGGGCGUAAAGGGCGCGUAGGUGGCCUUUUGAGUCAGACGUGAAAUCCCCCGGCUUAACCUGGGAACUGCGUCUGAUACUGGAAGGCUUGAGUUCGGGAGAGGGAUGUGGAAUUCCAGGUGUAGCGGUGAAAUGCGUAGAUAUCUGGAGGAACACCGGUGGCGAAGGCGGCAUCCUGGACCGAAACUGACACUGAGGCGCGAAAGCCAGGGGAGCAAACGGG